UACAAGAGAUGAGAGUGCACAUGAAG
RNAcentral lists this non-coding RNA (26 nucleotides) under Homo sapiens (human). The record is from RNAcentral. Lineage: Eukaryota; Metazoa; Chordata; Mammalia; Primates; Hominidae.